UAAAGGCUUGCUUUUUCUUACUCAUCCCAACACUGCUGUUCAUCUAUUCCUCUUUGUCUGGCUGCGGUUUCCAGCAUUUCAGUGUCUUCUUUAUUCUCUCUUGACUUAGGAGAAAUUAACACUUGCCUGCCUGAAGGGUCUUAUCCUCAGGGAUGUUUCAGCUGCUACUACGUAUCCUUGACUUUUCCUUGAUGAUCUGAUAUUCCUGAGGUUUGCAAGUUGGUGUGUUCAUCCUCCUUCUGUGCACACUGAGGAACUGAUUACAUUGAUACAAGUCUACUGAAUUUGAGGGGAUUACCUUUCAAAUUACAUUGUAUUUUUCAGCUUAAAAAUCAUAUCAGACUACAGAAGAAAACACCACGUCAACAUCCUAUGAUGAAUAUAAGCAUGAAGACAGUUGAGCUGUGACUAAAAGUUCCUGCUGUACAGAGGAGAACAGGACUUUCUGGUAGAUGACAAGAAUACUGAAGAAAUAUCUGAAGGGAACAUAAAGGUAAGAUGGAGAAAACCCCUGAAGUUUGACUUAAAAUCAUUGAGAAUGAGCUACCACAAAGAUGCCAAAUUCACAUGGAUGGCUCCUGCCCAGGUUCAUUGAGACAAUCAGAGUCAAUCAGAUUGCCACAUACAACAAGGCUUUCCAGCAAAAAGGGGGACUCAGCACUCUUCAAAAAGAUUAAAGGAACUAACCACCAGUACAGAGUUACUAAAGUUAAUGCUAUCCCUAAGGGGAGUAGGAGCUACAACUGCAAAAACAUCUCCCAAAAGUAUGGCUCCAGUGAAGAGGAGGUUAAGUGGGACAGAGGAUCGUAUGUGACUAGUGAAAUUCCUUCACACCUUCUGAGAAACAGACAAAAAGAGAGGGUGAACCAUAGCAUCACAGGUAGCCGCCUCGCAGCUCCUCUUUCAGUGCUGGUUAUUAUUUAACAACAGCAGUUUAAUUUGGAGGUGUCUGGUGGAACGUGUGAAAUUGCAAGGGAAUAGAGAAUACACAAUCAAAUGUGACAGUUCUUAAAUGAGCCAAAGAAGCAGGGAAAUAACAUAAAUACCAGUUCAGUCUCAACAGACACAGAAACUGGGGAACAUGAACCCAAACAUGAUGGGAAGAUUAUUUUUGUGAACUGAACUCUGGGAACUGGAGCAGGAAAUCUUGUUAGCUGAGACAGUGAAUGAGUGAGCAGUUGCAGUGUAUGUCAUCAUGGAUAAUGUCUCAGAAAUGUGAAAGAAGUUGUCUCACGCUUUUGUCUGGGAAGUUACCGUUCAUGACUGGAUCUUGGUGAAACAAAUUAUCUACAGGCAGUCAGAAAUGUACUACAGGGUGCUUUACACACUCUGUUACUAGAGGUGCUUUUAGGACAACGAUGUAACGUGGUACCUUUCAGUAAAGGAGAUGACAGGUGGUGUCUGAAAUAUGUUUUGAAAUUACGUAUUUCAAGGGUCUUAACUGCCAAAGCUCCCACUGAAUGUGAAGCAGGGGUGGAUUCCUGUUCACUUACCGAGUACUUCCAAGGGCUAGCUUAUUAAAAGAACAGGAAAACCACAUUUUUGCAAACAGAAAGACUAUGUAACCGCACACUCCAAUGCCAAACACGGGUGCCUAGAGCUGCUUACAACGAAGGCAUGUGGGAGUGGAGUGGGUUUUUUUAAGCUUUUGGUGGCUAUUGUUUCUCCUGCACUGUCGAUCCACAAGAGAGGUUGGGAAAGCCAAAGAAAACUGAGAGAGAUGGAAACAAGGAAGUACUUGACAUGGUGCAUAUCCAUGAAUGGUGGGUACGUAGUUGAAAGAAAAGGUUAAAGAGCACUCUUUUGUAAUAAGCUGUAUAUAAAAUAAGCUGUUUGAUUCCUAAUGGGUUCUGGGAAACAGAAAUGUCUUUUAAAAUUUUUUUUUAGUAAAUAAAAAAAGAAUAUCAAAAAUAUACUUCUAUCUAUCAGCAAUUUAAUAUAACACAAACAACACCAAGGCCCUGAUCUUUUUAUUUGCUCAGGUAAAAGAAAAAGAGGAUCUUAUGCAAGUUUUUCUGCAUUUAGUUUUUUUUUUUUUUUAGAUGAAUCAAAAGUUUUAGGUAUUUUUUGUCCUGCUGUGGUCUUCUUUUUGCAAUGUUUAACAUCUUUCCAUGGGAUGUUAUAGCUUAGAUUUUUUGUUUCAUUUUAAGAUAUAGGUUGUAAUCACCCAUGAAAUUUUCUGUGAAACAUCUCUCCACUCUACAAAAUGAAAGAAAAUUAUAUUGUUUGGACCGAGACUUUUAGAAUGAAAGUAUAGGUCUUGUGCUAGGAGGCCUGAAGUACUCAUCAUGGUGAUUGCUUUUGAUACCUCGCCAAAGACACGGUAUCUGUGGACUUUUUGACCCUGAAAAUGUCUAACCUAAAACCAGUAGAUUUUUCAGAUUUCAUGCCCUCCUUUUACUCACUGUGUCUAUAUUGAGCCACAUCUUCAGCUGAUGCAGUUUGACGGAUUUCAGUUUUGCUUAUUUACGUUGCCAAGGCUCUGCUGUGUAUUAUUUUCCUUUGCUGAGUGUGAUAUUACAUUGUGAUGUGAACCUAAAGCUUAUGGGUAUUGCCUGUGUCAGUAAAAUGAAUUCUUGCUCUUUCUACUUUACUUUGGGAGUGAGGUGCAUCUGUUGUGAG
Molecule: long non-coding RNA, 2622 nt
Organism: Columba livia (rock pigeon)
Lineage: Eukaryota; Metazoa; Chordata; Aves; Columbiformes; Columbidae
Exons: 5
Source: RefSeq, a predicted model, not a curated record